Molecule: long non-coding RNA, 1032 nt
Organism: Antechinus flavipes (yellow-footed antechinus)
Lineage: Eukaryota; Metazoa; Chordata; Mammalia; Dasyuromorphia; Dasyuridae
Exons: 2
Source: RefSeq, a predicted model, not a curated record
AACAGGAAAAUGCAUCAUUGAAAACAGGAGCAAGGGGGAAGGGGACAGAGAUGAGGAAGACAAAGAAAAGCAAUAGAGGGGAAGAGAGGAAAGCUGGAGAAGAGGGAGAGAAAAAAGCAGAAGAUACAAAAUUUCUCCCAUAGGAAACUGGCAGGAUUUAUAAUUUACCACCCAAGUCUUCUUCCUCUACCCCUUUCCCUUCUUAAAAUAGUAAUGAUUGUACUGGGUCGGAAGCACAGUUUACCCAAGUCACUGUCUCAUGGGAGAGCAUGAUCUCUCAAAUACAACUUUUACAGGUAGAGAAUUGCUCCACUUUUCUCAGUAACCACUUAAAACUGUCAUUUAGGCACAUAUUCAAAUGGUGUUUGAAUGUUUCUAUUUCCUGCCUGCACCAGCUUUUGGGAUAAUUUUUUGAUUAGCUAUUUUUUUGUCAUUCUAACAUUUCAAAGGGUUUCCCUUCAUUCCAACAUUUCAGGAUUUGGAGAAAUCCAUGUUCACCAUAUGCCAUGAUGUAUAUGUAUUUAGAUUGUCUCCUCUUAGCUUCCCCCUUUCCACACUAGAGAUCCAAUUAUAAGAUUGCUUCCCUCCCAAUCCCUGCAAAUGUUUUGCCUUUCUCUGGUUGCCUUAUAACCUUUCUGAGACUUGGAAAUUAAAUUGUAUGAUAUUCAUCAGUUUUAUUGAAGGGUAGAAAAAUGUUUUCUCUUUGACUGAACAGACAUAUCCUACCUGGCCUCCUGUCCUAUCUGUCUGCCCAACCUAGGUAAGCAGCAUCCUGGACUCUGUCCCUCCAGCAAUGGCAUCAGAAAAGAUUCAGAUGGAACAAGAAAAAGGACUGUGGAAGUUCGAUCUUUUGGGAAUUCUGUAUAAGAUUCAGAGGGCAAACUGAAGUGAAUUCUGUGAGGGAUUCUAAAGCACAAAGGAAUAUGAAGAGCCCUGAUUGCAGGGAUCAAACUUGAUUUAUCCGUGACUCUACCCGAGACCAACCACAGUUUUCUACACAACGAAAACAAUAAUAAAUUUGAUUUUCCAUGA